RNAcentral lists this long non-coding RNA (14102 nucleotides) under Lactuca sativa (garden lettuce). RNAcentral's name for it is "long non-coding RNA (LSAT_LNC007227)". Lineage: Eukaryota; Viridiplantae; Streptophyta; Magnoliopsida; Asterales; Asteraceae. The record is from RNAcentral.
ACAAAGUUUGAAGUGUGUGUAUGUCUAAGAAGAAUAUACGAGGCUCAGAUCUGUUUUACCUUCGGAACAAGAAGAUUAAACCGCCAUGGCUGCAAAUACAGAGGUUGCAUUCUCACAAUCGCCGUCCUCCGAUUAUAUGCCCUGCCAAGCUGCGGAUAAUCUCAAAUCAUGUCCCGAUUUUGAAUCAGAUCACGUUUAAUCAUCAUAGCCUCAUAUUUGUGGACAAUAAUUUUGGACGGAAGGAGUAUAAUAUGAAGAAAAGAUAGGAGGAUAUUUAAUUUCUCUAUAUCUAUAUAUAUAUAUAUCAGCAAAAGCUGUACCAGAGGGUUGUUGGAGCUUUAAAGAAUGACAAUGGAAAUCAUCGGCGUCGAGAGGCGGCAACCGCCCUUGGAAACCCUUCUUCCUCUCACAGCCUCAUUCUUUGAGCCGUAAAACAGAAAUCCCUAGCUUUCAUCCGGUUACUAUAUAGUCUAUAAAGUUAUAUUAAGGCCAUCGAUUUGGGUUACCAAUUGGAUCUUUGGAUCUACUUUAAUUUGUCAUUUAUCUUAAAAUAAUUACUUGCUUUGUAAAUAUUUUUUUUUUUGAAAAUGUAUUUACCAAAAUUAUAUAAAUUUUCAUUAUAUCAAUGAACGGUGUCAUUAUGAAAAAAUAAACAUAAAACUGUAAGAUUGAUUCUUAUGUUAUUCAAAAAACUUUCGAUGAAAUCCAAAAACUUUUCUACUUAAUAGAAUGUUUAAAAUCAAAUUCUUUUUCCCUUGUUUUUAGUCAUGGUAAACUUGAAAUUAAAUUUUUAUCCUUUUAAUUUAUUUUCUUCUUUUUUAUUUUUGUUUUAAUGGCAUUUUAAUUUAAAAAUAAAAGAAAAAGAGAAAAGGGCCCACCGCACCCCGUUGCUCUCUCUCUUUCUCUCUCUCUCUCUCUCUCUCUCGCGCGCGCGCGCAUGCGCCCGUGCCAAACAGACAAUAUACUCAUGAGUAUCAGAGAUUCCUUAUAUCACUCUUCAAAUCCCUAAAUUCAUUUUGCUCUCGUUGAAGCCCAUUUACUUUCAUUCCCUAAAAUUUGCCAGCGAUUCGCUUCACCAUUUUUUGAUCUGUAGUACACCGCUACAAGCGGUGGCGAUGACCUUUCAUCUCCAGUGCUCAACCUUCUCGAUCAAAAGAAAGGAUAUUCAUUUGGAAUUCUGGCUCCAACUGUUACCUCACCGUUUGUAGUUGCACAACGUCAUUCACAUUCAAAUUCCAAUUCGUCUUAUCUUCAUUUCGAUACCGAUUCAGAUGAUGAUUUCGACAACGAAGACGACUCUCUUCAUUUACACUCCGAGAACAGUGGUUCACCUCCCCUGCAUCAAAAAGUGGUGGAUAAACAAGAUGAACUGGUGGAGUAUGAGGUUCAUGUGGUGGAUAAUGAAGUUGUUGACAAUCAACAAACCCCUUUUCUGAUUCAAACAUAAGGAUCCAAUUUGAACCCCUUUCUGAUUCAAACAUAGAGAUCCAAUUUGAAGUUGUUCCAACUCCUCUUUAUCCUUCUGUUUUUGGUUAUUCUUGGCUCUUCUGUUAUGCGACUCUUCUAUCUCCUGUCUCGUUUUUCUUUUCUUACCUCUUCUCAACUUGUAUUAUCACUUUAGACUCCAUUAAUAGUGAAAUUUCAUCACCAUUUUGUCAAUUAAAAACGUCAAUGUUAUUUGAUUUCUCAAAUAACUUCCAGUUUUCCUUCCUUUAGGUUUUAAACUCAAUCUCAAAAUCAAUAUGGGAUUAACUGUUAAGAAUUUUGAGAAACUCUGAAAACCCAUUUGAUUUCGGAUUACAAUAAUGGGAUGGAUAUGAAUUUGGUGUUGAAUUUCAUAGGUAGACCAUAUAUUUUUAAGAUUGAAAAUUAGUAUACAUAUUUGACAUAAGUAAAUACCUUUUAACAUAUGAAUGAUAUUCCGAUCAGAAUAACAUCAAUUCCCAUAACAAUGAGACUUGACUGCAUUAGAAUGUUGUACUCUAUGCUUGAAAAUGAGUAUAUUUGAUGUCAUCAAAGCAUGCAUUUUCAAUGUUGUUGAUUUCUCAAUGUUGUUGAUUUUGUUACAUGCUUCCAGUGUAGUGCUUUUAUUUCUUGAUCAACAUCAUGUUAUUUGUCAUCAGCUUUAGAUUCAUUUGAAUCAAAUGUUUCUAUUUUAUGUUGUUUGUCUAACAUGUUGUAAUCCAUAGAUAUGAAUCAUGAAGUUUUUUAUUUUUAGUUUUUUAAGUCGGUUCUUUCAUGGACUUAAGUUAUAAUGUUAUUAUAUAUAACUUGUCUAAAUGGGAGACAAACUACAAUGGUCGAACAGUCAAGUAAAAUGUUUAUUAGAUACAUGUAUCGAAGAGGUCAACAUAAUUGGUAGAAAAAGAGGUAGCAUGCACAAGGAGUAUUGGGUUAUGUUAGGGAAAGCUCUAAAAGAAAAGUUUGACAUGGAUACUUCACAAAAACAAUUGAAAAAUGCUUUUGAUAAUCUAAAAUCUAAAUACGCAGGGUAGAAAUAUUUGAGAAACAAGUUAGGGAAUUUAUACAAUGCUCAAACAAAUUCAUUUGCCUUACGGAACACAGAAUGGGAAAAAUUCAAGAAGGUGUGUCUAUACAAUUUAAUUUUUCUAGUUUAUGUCCAAUUUUAAUAAUGAUGUCAAAAUACUUAUAAUUACUAUUCAUCAUGGUUUAGGGUCAUCCAAAGGCAGGAUCACUAAGGACACACCCAUUGCCUUAUCCCAACCUUUGUGCGUCUUUGUUUGAUGGAAGUAGUGCCAGCGGUAGCAUCAAUGGACCUCUACUCAAACUACACCCGCAUAUACAUCAUCUUCUUCUCAUCGUGUCCAAAGACUUCUGGUUGAUAACAACCCUUUUAAUGGCCUAGAAGAUGAUGAUGAUGAUGACGCUUCCAAUGACACUAGUGCUCGAGCUCCUAGUGAUAAAGCUCAUGGUGGUUCUACUGAGAGGCCUGAUAUAAGGAGUAAAACCACUAAUGCCUCUACUGAGAGGCCCGAUAAAAGGGCUAAAACCAGUAAUGCUUCUACUGAUAGGGCCAAUAGGACCGAUAUGGAUAAAGCCUCUAAAACCACUGUUAGUCUUGAUGAGUUGAGUCUUGAUAUGCAAAAGGCUUUGCAACAUAUGGUAAAUAGCAAGGAAGGACCAACAGUAGAAGAAUGUUAUGAGAGUUUGAAGCUAGUUGAAUUAGACCCAAGUGAUCCUAUAUUUUUGGUAGCUUUUCACCUUUUUGGAAUGUCCAUGAAUAUGCGAGAGGCAUGGAUGACAUUGCCACCGAUACCUGGGGUCUUAAAAGGGUGGAUAAAGAUGACUGGAACCACAUUAGGGAUGUUUAAGUAGUCUUUAUGCUUAUGUUUUUUUCUUUCAUUUUGAACAAUUAUGUGUUUCUUGAACUUAUGUUUGACAUUAUGGUUUUUUGCUAUCAUUUGAAUGAUUGUGUACUUAUUUGACACAAAUAUUGCUAGUAUUGGGAUUAUAUGCUUAUUUGAAACAAAAUGUGUGCUUUUAAUAUGAUACAAAUGCUUAUGUUUUUUGCUUUAGCAUAUUGGGAUUUAACAAGUGUUGAUGGUUUAACAGGUUCACAAUGGAUUACGAUAAAAAGUUGUGCCUCCUAAUUGUUAUGUAUUUGUAUCUUCGCUUUUUUUGGAGAAGAGGUUUGAAAAGAAUGCGAGAUAAUACCUCAAAAAUGUCUGGGCAUCAAUUCACAUUAGAGUUAUUACAAGGAACUAAUAACCAAUGCAUUGAGCUCUUGCGUAUGUCAUGUGAUUCUUAUGUUCGGCUUUGCACACAUUUUAGAGUAAAAAGUUGGUUAAAGGAUAGUAAACAUAUAUCGGUUGAGGAGAAGAUGGCGAUGUUCUUGAUGAUGAUUGGUCACAAUCAACGUUAUGUAAUAAUCAAACAUAGAUUUCAACAAUCAAAACAAACGAUUCAUAAGUAUUGGAUAAAAUGAUGAUGUUCGCAAAGGAUAUAAUGGUACCAACUUCCUUUAAUCCAAAUCCAAACAUUCCGGGACAUAAUAGGAGGUUACGAAGGAUUUUCAGAGGAAGAGUUGGUGCACUUGAUGGAACUUUGGUACAUGCUAUUGUCCCUAUCGACAAACAACAUUUGUAUAGAGGAAGGGGAAAAGGUGAUUGUUAUCAAAAUGUAUUAGCAAUAUGCGACUUCAACAUGAUUUUUACGUUUGUCGUGGCUGGGUGGGAAGGGAUAGCACAUGAUUCAAGAAUAUUAUCUGAAGCUUUAGCAGAUCGAGAUGCACCAUUCCCAUUUCCACUGCCAGUUUUGUUUACAUUUUCAUUUUAAUAUUUCUACUGUUUUUUAAAUUAAUUAUUUCCUUAUAUUUACAAAUAAGUAUUAUCUUUGUGAUGUUGCGUAUACACACACUCGAGGAUUUAUGGCUCCUUAUCGUAAUGUGUGGUAUUUGCUUGGAGAUUUUCAUCGAAGACGUGCAUUAACCAACAAAGAAAAAUUUAAUCACUCACAUGCAAAACUUCGAAAUGUCAUUGAGCGUGCUUUUGGUGUCUUGAAAGCACAUUUACCUAUAUUGAAGAAAAUGGCGCCAUUUCCAUUGGUUACACAAAGAAACAUCGUCAUUGGAUGUUUUGCGCUUCAUAAUUAUAUAAGAAAAGAGGGAUUAAGUGAUGAAUAUUUUUCUCAAUAUAAUCAAGUCGAUAUAUCACUUCAAAGCAACAAUGUACAAGAUGAUGAUGAUGAUGAGGAGGAGGAGGAAGAGGAAAAGGAUGACGUGAAUGAGGUAUAACCACAUGGAAGUGCAAGAGACCGGGAAUAUAUGGUUCAUCUACGAGAUCAAAUUGUUGACCAGUUAAUGGGAAAUGUAGAAUGAAUAAAUUCAUAAAAAAUAUGUUAGUUUUAUGAAUUUAGUUUUAAUAUUGUAAGACAAUCAUUGAAACAAUCCUUUAUGUUUUUAAAAAUAUCAACUUUAAUGAGUAAAUGGCCUUCUAGUUUGAAUCGAAAUAUAUAUAGUUUAUCUAAUGUUUUAAAAAGCAUUAUAUGUUUGAAAUUGUUAUUGGCAAAGUUUGAGUCAAGUAUAAAUUUUAAUAGAUUAGCAAUGUAUGAGAUGUUGAGUUUUUAGCAUCUGGGCUUUGGUUUUUUCAACAUUAAUUUCAAAGAUCAGUUUUGUUGUUGAACAAUGGAAAUUAUUGCAAAUCGGGUGGCAACGUGUAACUAUACAGUUCUUAUUAAGAAAAAAUAUAAUUUGUUUUUUUAUGUUGCUUUUUCAUAUUAUCUAAUAUUUUUUUACAAAAUACUAUAAUUCUAUUAAAUUGUUUGUAAAUAUUAUUAAAUGGUUAGAUUUUCAAUUUAUUAAAAACCAACGUGAAUUAUGAGAAAAGAAAAUAUGGUUAAUUGAUUUCCUUUAUUACAAGAUCUCUUGAGUUUUAGUUCAUUAUAAUUAAAAAAAACAAACAAUCUUUUUGCAUUAAGGCUUUUUGUAUGAAUACAUAAAAAAAUACUUUUAGUCCACGUCUUUUUCCACAAACAUGGAAAAAGACAAAAAACAUUUGACCACUUCCAAAACAAACACCACCUUAGUGUGCAUACUUGGUGUAUGACAUAACUAAUGUUUGGAAAAACAUAGUGUGUGUACUUGGUGUAUGGCCUGACUAAUGUUUAGAAAACAUAGUGUACAUGCUUGGAGCAUGGGACAACUAUUGUUUUAAUUCAAGUAUUAAGUUGAUAAAUUUGAAACAGUAUGCAAUGAAUAAUGUGUAAUUAAUAUGGUGAUAAAUAGAAAGUGUUAUAUUUAUAUUCAUAAGUUCUGAGACCAUAUUGGAUUCGAUUAUUCUUGUGUUUCACUUUGCAUGUUUUGACUUCCAUAAUAACUAGGUCGUUCUUCCUGAAUGACUAAGUUGAUCAAACCAUCCACAUUCGAUAAUACGUUGGAAGUAGGUAUUAAGGCAAGAAUGUCAUGAAGCUGAAUUGUAGAUGUCCAAGGUAUUGGACAUAGCAAGAGUUGUUGCAACAUUCAUGAGUGCUCAUAAGUUCUGAUUAUUGGAUUAAACCCACACUCAUUUGACUCACUUCAUGGAUUUUAUCACGAGUGAUCAUGAGACGAUAAUAUCUUAUCUUCUUCAAACCUAGAGAUAUGAGUUGUUGACUAUGAGUUGGUAAUACAUUGAUUGCACAAAAACGCAUUGGGUAAAUCGAUGUUAUAAAACGUGCCUUUGUGUAUGAUUCAACAAGUAGUAGAACAAGCAUAUGAGUCAAAGUUUAUCCAUUCCUUUUACCCUUAUAGAGAUAAAAGCGAUAUCUGUGGGCCCCUUGAUGAUUUAGUGAUGACACCCCGAAGUCCUUGGCCAAGCCUGGACUGAUUUGAUUUGUUCAAUUAGUCGGUUGUCAUAAAUCGGAAAUCGGGAAACAACAAAUGGACAGAGAGAAUGAUUACAAUCCAUGUAUCAGCCCAUAUGAUAUCUAGAAUGGAGGAAUAUAUGAUCCCUUAUCUAAUGGACAAGCCAUUGACUAGAUCAGAGUUCAACAACGACUUUAAGAGCUACGAUUGCUAGUCGGGUUUUGGAGUUAUACGCAAUAAUAGUUUUAGACUUAUCCAAGUGGGAGACUGUUGGAUUAGAUGUAUAAACUCAUAACUAUUAUUGGUAUGUAUUCGACCCGAGAGUAGCAUGGUCCAUUUGGGUUGCACUUCACCGGGACAAUUUAUAUGAAUAGUCUUUUGAGAAUAGUAUAUUUAUGAUUUAUAUUAAUAUAUUAUAAGUUCUAAUAUAUUAAUAUGGAAUCAUAUUAUUUAAUUAGUAUUGAUCAAUAAUUAAUUUAGAAUUAAUUUAGUGAUCAAAAGGGACUAAUUAAAUAUGGACUCUUAUAUAUAGUAUGGGUCAAGUUCAUUUAGGUUGGGCUAAGCUUGCAUGGAUAGUCCAUGGAGUUUUUAGCCCAUGGAUCCCAUGGAUAUGAAAGGUCAUGGGUAUUAGGGUUUACAUGGAUGAAACCCUAAUCCUCCAUACUAUAUAAAGAGGUCUUUGGCACAUGAAAUGACACUAGUGUAUGAGCAAACAAUAGUAAGCCAAUUUCUAGUGUGCUUACUAUUCUCUCAAGUUCUCCAAGGAGUUUUUGGUGAUUUGUGAUUCCACUUGAGGCUUCCACACUAUUGGGGCUAAGCUCUUAAAGUUCAAGACUUCAAGCCACAUCAAAAGGUAUGUCUUCUAACUAGACUUUUGUAGUAUAGUUGCUUCAUAAUAUGUUAGUUAAGAUAAAACCUUGGAAUAUUGAAUAUUUUCAUGUAUAAUAGAGAAAACAUAGAUCCAAGGUUUAUAGGAUUGCAUGUACACCAUAGGAGUGUUAGAAUGCCCAAAACCCUUCAAUAAUGAUCUGCUACAAUCAAGUAGGCACGAAGCCCAAAUUAAACAAGUCCAAAGCCAAACACUAAUCGAGCCCAAAAAUCAUCUAAGCCCACAGACUGCGUAUGUGCGGCGUACACGGCUCGUACACCCAACGUAUGUUGAUGUCCAUCCGGAGUCGGGACACUAACCCAGUACACGUAGCUUACUUUAGAGUACGCCCGACGUAUUGUCCAAUCAACCCAUUUUCAUUCCCAAGUAUUAAUCCAAUCAAUAUUUACGUCAAAAACUUAGAUCCAAGCUCAAAAUAACAUCUUAAGCCAUAAAGUUACAAAUUUUGUGCUUUUGCAUGCAUGAAUGGGGCUCAAACCAUGAAUUAAGUCCACUAACUCACUUCGAUGGUCACUAACGCUUGCAUGGUUGGGUCUAAACCACCAAGAUACGAUUUUUAUGAUUCAAAACACUUCCAAGGGUCCAAAAAGACAUCUCAAAAGGCCUGGAUUUGCUCAUACUCCAAGAAACCAAGCUAUGGGACCAAAAGAUACCAUAUUUUACCCUAAACCUAGAUCUAAUCUUAUAAUGAUCAAGGUUCAGACUUUAUAUCUUUAGUGGACUAGAAAUGGUGCACAAACUCUAGAUCUUCAAGCUCCUUAUUAUCCUUUGCUCCUUCCAAGCUUCCUUCCUCUUCAAAACCACCAAAGAUCACCCAAAUACUCAAGGUAAGCUCAAUAUGCACUAAAAACGGCUAGGGUUUCUAAUUUGACACUAAAAGAGGUAAUGGGGAUGAUAAGGUAAGGAGGGUGAAGGAUUAAGGUGCUUAAAUAUGGUGCAAAACCUAAAACUUAGGGUAUGUAUAUGGCUUGAGUACGCCUAGUGUACAUUGGUAUCACCCCGAUGACUUGGGUGUUACAUCGUUCGUGCAACUUCUCAACUACAUCCGAGUUUGUUGGGUUGGAGUUAAACAAAGAACCUGCAAAGACACCACUAUUCGUACGAGAUUGACUUAUAUGAUGAACCACCGAGCCAUGAUCCAUUUCAAAUAAAAAGUAUUACAGAUAUAUUUCAUGAUUACAUCAACGAUGUACAAGAUGUAAACGGUGAUGAAAAUUGUAGGUUUCAAGCGAUAGUUGUUUGUCUACGGUACAAUGUAGACCGAUGGCUAUACAUUUGACUUAAAUUGCUUGAAGAGUUAGAGAGUCGAUAUAACGGAUACCAUGAUGUUUUUACUACUGAAUUAAAUAAGAUAUACAAGUCUUUGCAUUGGUUUGAAUCACCUGCACCUUUGCGAUAUUGGUUGCAUAUGCCUUUUACUGGUUACCUAAUUGCUAACAAGUUUGGCGUGAUUGUUUAUUGUUUAAGCCACGAACAAUCUACGACUUGCUUUCCUCUUUGGAGAGGUCCUGAAGAGUUUCCAUCCCACCAAUCCAUUACAUUGGCACAUGUAAAUGGCAACCAUUAUAUGUUGGUGUCUUUGAAAGAAAAUUACCAAAUGCCUCCUAUCAUAAUGUAUUGGAAUAACCACAAAAACCCGUAAGCAUACACAUGACAAAUUAUGUAUUGGUCGCGUUUCGAAUUAUACAAUCAAUUUAGGUCUCGUAAUUUUGUAACACCUUAGAUACAUAUCAAAAAGUAAGUGUGAAUGUAUUUGAACUAUUUUUUUUACUAUUCAUUGCAUCAAAAUAUUUUUUUUAUUAUUGUUGUGUCUAUUUUAGUUUUUUUAAUUAAAUAUUAUUUUUUAUAUAAAAUAAUGUUAUUAGAUUUUUUUUAAACCACAUAUCUAACCUACUUUAAAUUACUUCUAAUUUCAUGUAUUUUAUUAGAUGCACAUAAUAAUAUAUAAUACAACUUUUUUGUUUUAUAAAUUUAAAAUAUAAAAAAGAUAUUUUAUUAAAUAGAUUGAUAUAAAUAAUAUAUAUAAUAUGCAUUUUUGGUUUUAUAAAUUUAAAUUAUAAAAAAUAUUUUAUUAAAUAGAUUAAAUAGAUAAUCACUUAUUUGUAUAUUAAACAAAAUUUAUUAAUUAUCACUUUAUUAUUAGCUAAUAAUUAUAAGUAAAAAUGUAAUCAUUAUAAAUAAAAAUUAUUAAAUUAUUAUUUAAUCAUUUUAAUCAUUUAAAGAAGUUAUUGAUUAAGGAUACUUUUAGAAUCUGAAGAGAGUAUUGAUAUCUUUACUUUUUUAGAUUUUAUAAAAACACAACUUAUAAAAAAAAUUUACACAACAAAUUUUACACAUUAAAAAAUNNNNNNNNNNNNNNNNNNNNNNNNNNNNNNNNNNNNNNNNNNNNNNNNNNNNNNNNNNNNNNNNNNNNNNNNNNNNNNNNNNNNNNNNNNNNNNNNNNNNNNNNNNNAUAUAUAUAUAUAUAUAUAUAUAUUGUUGUUUUUGAAUAAUUAACUGCUUAAUGCUAGAGACAUGGUAAAAUAAGUUAUUUAGUCACAUUCAAAUGGUUUUUAUUUGUUCUAUAAAAAACACUUUAUAUAGACAAACAUUAUUAUCAAUUCCACCACUGCCACUUUACCAAUAUAUCAGUGUCGAUCGGCAAGAUGACAUGAUUACAAUAAUCAGGUAACUGUAUUUUCGUAGUGGAAAGCAGUUUAAUAGAAUGACGACACAAAAUUAGACAGUAACUUACAAUGUUAUAAUAAUACUUUGGAUGAGAGACACACACACACACACUCACACAGAGAGAGAGAGAGAGAGAGAGAGAGAGAGAGAGAGAGAGAAGGAUAUGUGUCAGUCCUUUAUUAAAAUAGGUUGUUUCUCAUGUAUUUUAUUAUUUAUUUCAUGAUCUAAGACCUAAUACUCUACACAAAUCUUUACCCAAAUCUUUACCACUAAAAAAGAAGCCUAGAUUCGAAUAUUCUAUCCAAGAUGAAUCCCAUGGAUGAAGAAAAGAAUCGUGAAUCUUAACAUGAGCAAAAGCUUCGAGAUAACAUUCAAGAUAAAAACCAAUUUCAAUAAGGACAUGCCAUUUCUGCAAGAAGAAGUUGUAUAGCCCACAAGCAUUUGGGGGUCGCCAAAAUGCUCACGAAAAAGAAAGAUGGAGCAAGAAGACACCACUUGUUCACUAUGGACAAUGAGUUUUCAAUUCAUCGAACACUUGGUGUGCAUUCUCACUCACUUUCACGUAAACCAACCACAAAUGAAGUGGGGAAAAUCACAAUUAGAGAGUAUGGAGAGGAAGUAAGUUUAAUAUGGUUAUUUAAAAAAAAAAAGUCAUUUUUUUCAAAAAGUUUAUUUAUAUGGAUUGAAUUACUUAAUUUUUUUUAACUUCAAGGACCAAUAAUGUAAUUAUGUCUUACAAUUAACUUUUGUAUUUUGUAUUUAAAAGUAGAUUAAAAAAUUAAUUACAAAGUCAAUAUAGUCAUGUAUAUAUCUAUUAAACAAAAAAUUAGAUAAAUUUACAAAAAUGGUCUCUGUUGCGAAAAGUCAUAAAGUCAGUUAUUUUAACCUCUCUAUUUUUUAAAUUUUCGUGUUUAAUCUCGUAUUGUAUAUAAUUUGAUUUUUAUUAAUACUUUUCAUUCGUUAACCUAAGACAAAUUAUUUUUACGUGUUUAUUUUAUAUAUUUGUCGGUAAUUCAAGAUGGUUAACGUUUCGACUUUAAUUUAGAACUUUCUUUUGUUAAUUUAUUUAAGAAAAAUUACAUGGGUUUUUAUAAACUUUUCGGUUUUAAUUUGAGUUUGUCUAUGUUUCGUCAAUUUUUUUUAAACUUUAUGUAUGUUUCCUACGUAUGAGAUAGGUCACAUAUAAUAACUUUUGUUUGUUAAUUUUAAAAAAUGUAUUAUAUUCGAGUUUGUCUACGUUUCGACGUAUUUUUAUAUAUUUGUCGAUAUAAUUCAAGGUGGUCAACGUUUCGACUUUAAUUUAUAACUUUCUUUCUUUAAAUUUUUUUAAAAAAAUUACAUGUUUUUUUUAAUAAACUUUUCAGUUUAAAUUCGAGUUUGUCUACGUUUCGACAUGUUUUUUUAAACUUUAUGUAUGUUUCCUACGUAUUUCAUACACAUAUAAUAACUUUCGUUUUUUAAUUUAAAAAAAAUUAUUAUAUUUGAGUUUGUCAACGUUUUGGCGUAUUUUUAUAUAUUUUGUGCGAAAUUUUAUAUACAUUCAUACGUAUCAGUCGGGUCAAGUAUGCUAACUUUCGUUCGUUAGCUUAAAAAAUGUAUUAUAUUCAAGUUUGUCUACGUUUCAACCUAAUUUUUUUUUCAUGUUUUUUUACGUAUUAGUAUAGAUUCGAGUUCGUCUACAUUUCGACAUAAUUUUUUUUUAUUUUAUGUUUCGUGCUUAUUUUUAUGUACGUGUUUUUUUACAUAGAAACGUAACUUUUAUCAAUAAAUCGUCAAAAAUCAACUUACAAAAUUCAAUGUUUAUAAUUACGCUUUUAUUUAUUAUAUGUGAACAAAGUCAUACGUAGGAACAUACAUAAAAUAAACACCAAAACAUAUAAAAAAACCAAAACAUUAAAAAAAUAAAAAAUAAAAAAACUCAAAUUUACAUCAAUACGUGCAUAAAAAUAAAUAAAUAAGAUUUUUUUUAUAGUUAACAAAUGAAAACUUAAAUAAUAAAAAAUGUAUAAUAUGUGACCUUAGUCAUACAUAUGAAAUGUACAUAAAAUUAACGAAAACGUUAAAAAAUACAUUUCGUGAAACGUAGACAAGCUAGAUGAUAAUACAUUUUUUUACAACGAACGAAAAUUAUUAUGUGGCACGAAAUGAUGUGGGAGUGUAUAUAAAACUAAACACCAAAAAUGUAAAUGAAUAAUAAUAAAUGAAUAAGUAAAAAUUAUUUCGAAACGUAGACAAACUUAAAUAUAAUAUGUUUUUUAAAAUUAAAAAACAAAAGUUAUUAUAUGUGAUCGGUACUUGAAAAGACCAAAAUACCGACAAAUAUAUAAAAAUUAUUUUGAAACGUAGACAAACUUACAAAUAUGUAACUUCUUCACAAAAAAAAAACGAAAAAUAUUUUAAAUUACAGAUAAAACGUUGAUCACCUUAAAUUAUACCGAUAAAUAUAUAAAAAUAAACAUAUAAAAAAAACUUUUUUAGGUUAACAAACAACAAUUAUUAAUAAAAAUCAAAUUAUAAUACGAGGUUAACCACUAAAAUUAUGAAAAUAACAUUUUUCAAAAUUCAAAGUCAAAAAUUCAAAAUGAUAAUUUAAAAAGUAAAAUGAUGAAAAAGCCACAAAUUCAUAAACAUAAAAUAUAUAAAAAAAAAAUUACAUAAAUAAUCUCCUAUAGUUUACCUAUAAUCACAAAGUUAGUCUCUAUUAUUUAAAAAGACCAAAAUACCCUUACAUUAACGGAUGAACAAUAAUGAUUAAGACUGUGCAUGGCUCGAUUUAGGUCGGUUUUGGACCCAGACUCAAACCCAACCCAUGAAUGUUCGGUUUCUAGUUUUCAGAACCCAAUAGAUUCGAUUUCUUAGGUUCUAAGGUCGGUUUGAUCGGCUUUUCAGUUUCUUGGGUUCAACCCAUACACUCAUGGGUUUUGGAUUAAAUCCAUAGAUUUUGAUUUUCAGUUUCUGGUUUUUCGGUUUCUUGGGUUCAAACCGAACCCGACUUUUUGGUUUUUAAAAAAGUCAAACCCUAACUGUUGGUUUUGCUUUGGUUUCGAUUUCAUCGGUUUUAGUCGGUUUCUUGGUUUAUUGGUUUGGGUUUGCUCACCCGUAAACGAUUCAUGUCGGCAAAAAAGAGUCAUUCAUGCAAUUUUGAAAAUCACAUGGACCAUAUUCAUCCAAAAAAAUUUUAACAGGGACUGGUUUCAUGACUUUUGACAAACACAAUGAUCAUUUUUAUAAUUGUCAAAAAAAUUAAUACAAACAUUUUUUUUAAUAUAAUUAUUGAAAUUCAAAUUCCAAACUACAUCAAGAAAAUUACCAAAACAAAUCCAAAAGACAUGUCAAUCCAAAAUAUUCCAUAUGUACAACCCAAACGCCCCUAUUUGGAUUUUACAAAUCGUGAUGUUUUCCUGAAUAGAAAUAAUAAAACUACAAACACAAUCUUUAUCAAUGCAAAUUACCUGUUUAACCGCUCUCCAAAAUCAACGAUGAUUCAGUGAUCAUAAAGAAAAAAAAAAUGAUCUGUGACUUAUAAUACAAAUAAAAUGAUUAAGAAAAUCAAAAAUAACAAAACAAUUCAAAAUAUAAAAGUAUUUCCGAAGAACACAGAUUCGUAAAAAUGCAGCAAAAAACCCAAAUUAAUAAAACUGUCCCCAAUGAAUCAACAAUAAAACUUUAACUUUAGAAUAUAAAUGAGGCUCAGAUCUGUUUUACAAUCGGAACAAGAGGAUUAAACCGCCAUGGCUGCAAUUACAGAGGUUGCAUUUUAACAAUUGCCGUCCUCCGAUUCUGCCCUGCCAAGCUGCGGAUAAUCUCAAAUCUUGACCCGAUUUUGACUCAGAUCAUGUUUAAUCAUCACAGCCUCAUACAUUGGGUCUCUCUCUAGUCUCUAUCUCUCUGUAUAUGCAUACAGAUACAGAUACAUACUUGCAUACAUUAUAUGAUUAGAUUACUCAGUUUCUCUUUAUAUAUAUAUAUACAUAUAUCAUUGCUACACAAGAAAGGCGAAACCUUUCAUGACAGCUAGACUUGUCAGCAAAAGCUGAAGUAGAGGGUUGUUGAAAUUUCAAAGAAGACGAUGGAAAUCAUCGGCGUGGAGAGGCGGCAACCACCCUCAGAAACCCUUUGUUCCUCUCACAGCCUCAUUCUCUGAGUCGUAAAACAUAUAUCCCUAAUUUUGACUCGGUUACUUUAUUUAUACUGCGGGCCUCCGAUUUGGGUUUCCAAAUGGAUCUAUAUGUCAUUAAUCUUUAG